UGUCGUGAGAUGUUCGGCUAAGUCCGGCAACGAGCGCAACCCACGUCCUUAGUUGCCAGCAGUUCGGCUGGGCACUCUAGGGAAACUGCCCGUGAUAAACGGGAAGAAGGUGUGGAUGACCUCAAGUCCUCAUGGCCCUUACGGGUUGGGCUACACACGUGCUACAAUGGCUGUGACAAUGGGUUAAUCCCAAAAAACUGUCUCACUUCGGAUUGUUCUCUGCAACUCGAGAGCAUGAAAUCCGAAUCCCUAAUAAUCGCAUAACAGCAUGACUCGUUGAAUACAUUCCCAGGACGCGGUGAAUACGUUCCCGGGA
RNAcentral lists this ribosomal RNA (316 nucleotides) under uncultured Paracoccaceae bacterium. RNAcentral describes it as "bacterial SSU rRNA". It matches the Rfam family "Bacterial small subunit ribosomal RNA", at positions 1063 to 1383 of the family's 1533-position model. Lineage: Bacteria; Pseudomonadati; Pseudomonadota; Alphaproteobacteria; Rhodobacterales; Paracoccaceae. The record is from RNAcentral.